GUGCUCACUUCGGCAGCACAUACUAAAAUUGGAAUGAUACAGAGAAGAGUAGCAUGGCCCCUGCACAAGAAUGACACGCAAAUUCAUGAAGCAUUCUAUUUAAAA
This 105-nucleotide small nuclear RNA is filed under the name Cavia aperea (Brazilian guinea pig). Lineage: Eukaryota; Metazoa; Chordata; Mammalia; Rodentia; Caviidae. The record is from RNAcentral.